UACGGAGGGUGCGAGCAUUAAUCGGAUUUAUUGGGCGUAAAGGGCGCGUAGGCGGGGGCAUAAGUCAGAUGUGAAAGCCCGGGGCUCAACCCCGGAACGGCAUUUGAUACUGUGCAUCUAGAGGGUAGGCGGAGAAAAUGGAAUUCCACAAGUAGCGGUGAAAUGCGUAGAUAUGUGGAAGAACACCGGUGGCGAAGGCGGUUUUCUAGCUUAUACCUGACGCUGAGGCGCGAAAGCAAGGGGAUCAAACAGG
RNAcentral lists this ribosomal RNA (253 nucleotides) under uncultured bacterium. RNAcentral's name for it is "partial 16S ribosomal RNA". It matches the Rfam family "Bacterial small subunit ribosomal RNA", at positions 524 to 776 of the family's 1533-position model. The record is from RNAcentral.